GUAGGUGGCAAGCGUUGUCCGGAAUUAUUGGGCGUAAAGCGCGCGCAGGCGGUCCUUUAAGUCUGAUGUGAAAGCCCACGGCUCAACCGUGGAGGGUCAUUGGAAACUGGGGGACUUGAGUACAGAAGAGGAAAGCGGAAUUCCAAGUGUAGCGGUGAAAUGCGUAGAGAUUUGGGGGAACACCAGUGGCGAAGGCGGCUUUCUGGUCUGUAACUGACGCUGAGGCGCGAAAGCGUGGGGAGCAAACAGGAUUAGAUACCCUGGUAGUCCACGCCGUAAACGAUGAGUGCUAAGUGUUAGGGGGUUUCCCGCCCCCUUAGUGCUGCAGCUAACGCAUUAAGCACUCCGCCUGGGGAGUACGGCCGCAAGGCUG
RNAcentral lists this ribosomal RNA (373 nucleotides) under uncultured organism. Its description in RNAcentral is "partial 16S ribosomal RNA". It matches the Rfam family "Bacterial small subunit ribosomal RNA", at positions 527 to 896 of the family's 1533-position model. The record is from RNAcentral.